RNAcentral lists this ribosomal RNA (630 nucleotides) under Henneguya sp. 1 HK-2016. RNAcentral describes it as "eukaryotic LSU rRNA". It matches the Rfam family "Eukaryotic large subunit ribosomal RNA", at positions 1385 to 1924 of the family's 3401-position model. The record is from RNAcentral. Lineage: Eukaryota; Metazoa; Cnidaria; Myxozoa; Bivalvulida; Myxobolidae.
GGCAGCGCCCGGGUGCGUAUACGUGCCCCUCAAACCAUUGAAGUUAAAUGUUGUGGAACCGCCCUUCCUUCCGAUCUUGGGUUUAGUAACCACCUAUAAAAAUGAGAACCUUCCAAGCCCAAAUGGAAAAAGGUUCCUCCUGAACCGCAAUUGGACCAAGGUUAAUCCGGCCUAAACAAAAACUUACACGCUGAACCAUAAGAAACGUUUUGUAUGUAAUGGGCUUGCUCAUGAUACUUCCUUUCGGUCUGCGAAAGGGAAUCAGGUUAAUAUUCCUGAACCAGGGAACGGAAAACUUUACUUGUUUAUUUUAACCUUUCAGGGUUUGUUCCAUUUUGUUUAGUGGAGCGGUAACCCCAACUAACUCCGAAACGUUGUUGGAAAUUCCAGGAAAAAUUGUCUUUUCUGUUUAACUAAAUGAAUAAUCUUGGAAUAAAGUCAUUCAGAAAACUGGUUGACAAUUGGGAAGAACGUCGCUUUUUGGUGGCGUCUGGAAUACCGUCUAUGAUCCCUGAAAAUCCCAGGGCAUGGAUAAUUGUCAUGCCUGGCCCUAGCUAAAUUCCCAUCCUGGCCCCUAAGUAAACCCCCUCCGGGUCUCCAAUUUGGUGGGGAAAGGAAGUCGGAAAAAAG